RNAcentral lists this long non-coding RNA (1426 nucleotides) under Gossypium barbadense (sea-island cotton). Its description in RNAcentral is "long non-coding RNA (GBAR_LNC004501)". The record is from RNAcentral. Lineage: Eukaryota; Viridiplantae; Streptophyta; Magnoliopsida; Malvales; Malvaceae.
AGGAGCUAUAGUUAGUUUCGGAUCUCAUUAACAUUCCGAACAAAAAGUGGAAGACGGAUUUGAUUUACAAUACCUUUUCAGCAGAAAUUACGAAGAAAAUUUCACAGAUCCCACUUACAGAGACGGACCAUGAAGAUAUUCAAGUCUGGAAAGGAGAACCGUUCGGGGAAUUUUUAGUUCACAGCGCCUAUAAACUAUUACAAGGGGCUAAUCCGGAUCCUAGUAAUUUCUUAAUACAAACCGAAAUUACAGAUUUCUACAAAAAAUUAUAGGGUUUACAACUUCCUUCAAAAAUCACUAUAAUUAUUUGGCGAAUCUCUUGGGAUUUCAUCCAUCAUCUAGCUAAUCUCAGAUAUAGAAGAGUUUCUGCAAGUGACAGAUGUCCUCGUUGCCGUUAUUGAGUUGAAGAUAGUCCUCAUAUUUUUCGUCAAUGCCCUGUAUCAACAGAAGUGUGGCAUUUUUUACAUCUAUCUUGGGUUAUAAACAAUAUGAAUCAAACUAUAUGGGAGUGGCUUACCUGGGUUUUCAAGAGAGGAACUGCGGAACAAUGUCGCCUUUUCUGUAUUACUUUAUGGCUAAUCUGGUUUUCCAGAAAUCAGCUCAUUCACGAGAGGAAGGAAACAUGUAGAGAACUUGCUCAUCAAAUAUAGGGGUAUAUGGCAGAAAAUGAAGGGGUAAGAGAAACUCCAAAUCCUUUUAAUACAAACAAGAAUCACAAAGGUCAGGAGGACAUACCGAGAAUAACGAUCCAGUUUGAUGCAGCGUUCGACAUUCGAAACUUCAAAUUAGCAACAUGCUUGGUGGUUUAGGGCCUGACGGGCGAGCUCCUGGUCUUAAAAUCGACCCUUCACAAUAAUGUUUCUUCCCCGUUCGCAGCAGAAGCGUUUGCAUGUUUGGAAGGCAUAAAGUUAGGGAUAUCAAUGGGUAUACAAUCGGUUAAAAUCAUGGGGGAUUCUAGAACAAUAAUUAAAAAAUGUCAAACAUCUUCAAUAGAUAAAUCAGAGAUUCGAGCGAUCAUAAAAGACAUUCAGAACAAGAAAUUUUAUUUUCAAGAGAUUACCUUUCAGCAUAUUCAUAGAUCAGGGAACUCGCAAGCACACAGAUUCGCAAAGAAUACUCUAGAUAGAGGAGAGAUCUCUUACCUAGUGGGAGAGGAGUUGAAUCGGCAUCCUUCCGACUUGGAGGGAAGAUGGUCAAGAAGACCAGAUAGAAGAAGGAGAUGAGGAAUCUGAUUUCAAAAGUGAUAGCAAAUAAAAGCUUUAUUCUUGAUAAUAGCUAUUGUCAGAACGGAUGGGUGCUUUGAAAUGACAAAUCAAUGAAUGGUAAUGGAGGCCAGCCGUUUGAAUGGACUGGGUAGAUAUUUAGUUUCCUGUUUUCCGUCAGAAUCAUUUAAUGCUUUUUGUUUCCUUUAAGUUAUGUUUAUUUU